GACAGAGGGUGCAAACGUUGUUCGGAAUUACUGGGCGUAAAGCGUGUGUAGGCUGCCCCGCAAGUCGGGUGUGAAAGCCCCGGGCUCAACCUGGGAAGUGCACUCGAAACUGCGGGGCUGGAGUCCUGGAGAGGAAGGCGGAAUUCUCGGUGUAGAGGUGAAAUUCGUAGAUAUCGAGAGGAACACCGGUGGCGAAGGCGGCCUUCUGGACAGUGACGUGAC
This 222-nucleotide ribosomal RNA is filed under the name uncultured bacterium. RNAcentral's name for it is "partial 16S ribosomal RNA". It matches the Rfam family "Bacterial small subunit ribosomal RNA", at positions 524 to 744 of the family's 1533-position model. The record is from RNAcentral.